AUUGAACGCUGGCGGCAGGCCUAACACAUGCAAGUCGAGCGGCAGCACGGGUACUUGUACCUGGUGGCGAGCGGCGGACGGGUGAGUAAUGCCUAGGAAUCUGCCUGGUAGUGGGGGAUAACGCUCGGAAACGGACGCUAAUACCGCAUACGUCCUACGGGAGAAAGCAGGGGACCUUCGGGCCUUGCGCUAUCAGAUGAGCCUAGGUCGGAUUAGCUAGUUGGUGAGGAAUGGCUCACCAAGGCGACGAUCCGUAACUGGUCUGAGAGGAUGAUCAGUCACACUGGAACUGAGACACGGUCCAGACUCCUACGGGAGGCAGCAGUGGGGAAUAUUGGAC
This 340-nucleotide ribosomal RNA is filed under the name uncultured bacterium. RNAcentral describes it as "bacterial SSU rRNA". It matches the Rfam family "Bacterial small subunit ribosomal RNA", at positions 30 to 369 of the family's 1533-position model. The record is from RNAcentral.